This 492-nucleotide ribosomal RNA is filed under the name uncultured bacterium. Its description in RNAcentral is "partial 16S ribosomal RNA". It matches the Rfam family "Bacterial small subunit ribosomal RNA", at positions 29 to 507 of the family's 1533-position model. The record is from RNAcentral.
AGUGAACGCUGGCGGUAGGCCUAACACAUGCAAGUCGAACGGCAGCACAGUAAGAGCUUGCUCUUACGGGUGGCGAGUGGCGGACGGGUGAGGAAUACAUCGGAAUCUACUUUUUCGUGGGGGAUAACGUAGGGAAACUUACGCUAAUACCGCAUACGACCUACGGGUGAAAGCAGGGGAUCUUCGGACCUUGCGCGAUUGAAUGAGCCGAUGUCGGAUUAGCUAGUUGGCGGGGUAAAGGCCCACCAAGGCGACGAUCCGUAGCUGGUCUGAGAGGAUGAUCGGCCACACUGGAACUGAGACACGGUCCAGACUCCUACGGGAGGCAGCAGUAGGGAAUAUUGGACAAUGGGCGCAAGCCUGAUCCAGCCAUACCGCGUGGGUGAAGAAGGCCUUCGGGUUGUAAAGCCCUUUUGUUGGGAAAGAAAAGCAGCAGGUUAAUACCCCGCUGUUCUGACGGUACCCAAAGAAUAAGCACCGGCUAACUUCGUG